GCUUGGUGUGGUGGAGCACACCUAUAAUCCCAGCAACUUGGGAGGCCGAGACAGGAGGAUCUGCAAGUUCAAGGCUUGUCCAGGCGACUUAGCAAGACUCUGUCUCAA
This 108-nucleotide small RNA is filed under the name Marmota monax (woodchuck). The record is from RNAcentral. Lineage: Eukaryota; Metazoa; Chordata; Mammalia; Rodentia; Sciuridae.